UUUAAAAAACUUAAAACCUGGUUAAAACUUUAAUUUAAUAGUUAGCUUUAUAAAUAAUAACAUUUUUAUUUUUUGAAUAAAAUGAUCAUAAUUCAAAUGAAAGUUUGUAAUCACUUACUUUAAUUUUUAACUUAUAUGUACUCAGCUGAUGAUAUAGAUUUAAAAAUAUGUUAGAUAUUCAUAAUACAUUUUAUGGGUCAGAUAUUGGUAAUAAAUAAGGUACAGUGUACAUUUACAGGUCCCCAAUGGCCUUAUUGUACAGCAAUUACCUAGGUAUCAAGUAUCGAACACAUAUUUGUUUAAACCUUUUUUGAGAAUAUUUAACAACUACAAAUACAAAUGAAAGACAUUUGUUGGAUAAAAU
This is a non-coding RNA of Cinara cedri, 364 nucleotides long. NCBI's taxonomy places the organism in Eukaryota, Metazoa, Arthropoda, Insecta, Hemiptera, Aphididae. The record is from the annotation of a GenBank genome assembly.